CUCGCACCACGGUGGUCUCCACUUCUUUUUUUAUACUCGUAGAAAAACUGAGGCUGUUAUCUUCCCGCGACUCAUAUCACUCUCUCUCUCUCUCUUCCUCUCAUACUGGAUACUUUUACAUUAAUGGCCUCCAUUUCGACUCUUGGAAUUCCAUUCCAAUCCCCCGGAAGAGCUUCAACAUCCACAACAUGGCGCAGACCGAUUGCAGCUCUAACUUCUCAUCAUCCUGAUGUUUGUAUUAAAAAAUGUGCCGGGGUCAUCGAGAGAAGACAAGUUAUAAUGUUAUCUGUUGGGUUCCUGGCCGGAGCAGCUCUGCAGCAUUCCUCUUCAAAUAAAGAUGCUGCAGCCAUGGCAGCCGAAUUCACUGACAUGCCAGCUAUCAGGGGGAAGGAUUAUGGCAAAACAAAAAUGCGGUAUCCGGACUACACAGAAACAGAAUCAGGUCUUCAGUAUAAGGACUUGCGAGCAGGAAGUGGUCCCUUGCCUAAGAUGGGAGAGACAGUUGUGGUCGAUUGGGAUGGUUACACCAUAGGAUACUAUGGUCGCAUAUUUGAAGCUCGAAACAAGACAAAAGGUGGCUCCUUUGAGGGAGAUGACAAGGACUUCUUCAAAUUCAGACUAGGGUCCAGAGAGGUUAUACCUGCUUUUGAAGAAGCUGUUUCAGGAAUGGCUCCGGGUGGCAUUAGAAGUAUGCUUCACAGCGAUGCAGGAUCAUUGUGCCCCCAGAACUAGGAUAUCCUGAGAAUGACUACAACAAGAGUGGGCCAAGACCAACAACAUUUUCGGGUCAACGAGCCUUGGAUUUUGUGUUGAGGAACCAAGGGCUGAUAGACAAAACUUUGCUGUUCGAUAUUGAACUCCUUAAAGUAAUCCCAGGCUAACUCCGAGCUGAUUCCCCUGUCAGGGUGGACGUAUUCCACUAUUGCCGUCAAACAUUCGGGUUAGAUUUUGUUCUUUUGGGUAUUGAAAUAGAGGUCAAUAUAUAUUACUGUAUAUCCACAUCAAAAUCUGAAAGGAAGUUUUGAAUUUGACCACCUUGUUCCUCGAGAAGAUUCUUUUUCUAUCUGGCUUUUGUUUGUGCAACAUCAUUGCCAAGGUAUUUUAGGCGAAAGAUAGAAUUGCAUCUUGGUUUGCUAGCUGUGAACAUGGAUGAAUCUUCGUUGUUUGAUUUCUGCUGCUUCAAUUGGAAAUUCCAGGACAUCAAAUAAUUGCAUAA
RNA transcript from Populus euphratica (Euphrates poplar), 1216 nucleotides. It is a transcript of the gene named FKBP-like peptidyl-prolyl cis-trans isomerase family protein, with no coding region annotated. The record is from RefSeq and is a predicted model, not a curated record. The transcript is spliced from 10 exons. Lineage: Eukaryota; Viridiplantae; Streptophyta; Magnoliopsida; Malpighiales; Salicaceae.